GUGUUCGCUUCAGCAACACAUAUACUAAAAUUGAAACUGCAGAGAUUAGCAUGGCCCCUGCACAAGGAUGACAUGCAAAUUUGUGAAGUGUCCCACAGAAAG
Small nuclear RNA from Zalophus californianus (California sea lion), 102 nucleotides. NCBI's taxonomy places the organism in Eukaryota, Metazoa, Chordata, Mammalia, Carnivora, Otariidae. The record is from Ensembl.